GAUGAACGCUGGCGGCGUGCCUAAUACAUGCAAGUCGAGCGAUCAGACGAGGAGCUUGCUCUUCUGACGUUAGCGGCGGACGGGUGAGUAACACGUGGGUAACCUACCUAUAAGCCUGGGAUAACUUCGGGAAACCGGAGCUAAUACCGGAUAAUAUAUUGUACCGCAUGUCUCAAUAGUGAAAGACGGUAUUGCUCCCACAUAUAGAUGGAUCCGCGUCGAUUUAGCUAUUUGGGAAGGUAACGGCUUACUAAGGCGAGGAUGAGUAGCGGACCUGAGAGGGUGAUCGGCCAACUUGGACCUGAGACACGGUCCAAACUCCUACGGGAGGCAGAAGUAGGGAAUCUUCCGCAAUGGGCGAAAGCCUAACGGAGCAACGCCGCGUGAGUGAUGAAGGUCUUCGGAUCGUAAAACUCGUUUAUUAGGGAAGAACAAAUGUGUAAGUGACUAUGCACGUCUUGACGGUACCUAAUCAGAAAGCCACGGCUAACUACGUG
RNAcentral lists this ribosomal RNA (497 nucleotides) under uncultured bacterium. RNAcentral describes it as "partial 16S ribosomal RNA". It matches the Rfam family "Bacterial small subunit ribosomal RNA", at positions 28 to 507 of the family's 1533-position model. The record is from RNAcentral.